Molecule: transfer RNA, 90 nt
Filed under: Prevotellaceae bacterium
Lineage: Bacteria; Pseudomonadati; Bacteroidota; Bacteroidia; Bacteroidales; Prevotellaceae
Also listed under: 2 other names
Description: tRNA-Ser
Rfam family: tRNA
About the family: Transfer RNA (tRNA) molecules are approximately 80 nucleotides in length. Their secondary structure includes four short double-helical elements and three loops (D, anti-codon, and T loops).
Source: RNAcentral
GGAAGUUUGGGUGAGUGGCUGAAACCACCAGUUUGCUAAACUGACGUGCGGGUUACCGUACCGGGGGUUCGAAUCCCCCAGCUUCCGCCA